GUAAACAUUAACUACUAUAUUGAAGAUAUAUUAUUAUAAUUGGAUCCAAUGAACGAUAUUGUAUAUAAUGAACAAUUUGGUUAUCAAAAUGGUUAUAGUAGUGUACAGAGAACCAAAUCCCUUGGACUAUUGGACAAAACGCAACUAAAAGUCAAGAGAUCAUUUAUUGACUAGUAUAUUAUUAGAAAGACAUGUAUGGUUAUAUGAGCGGAAUUUCGAAAUGCUAAAAUUAUGGUAUUCAUUCUUUGUACUGAAAGUUUUAUUAUAAAGUCGUUCUGAACCAAACUUAGUAACAAGUAGUAAUAAAUGCACAAACUGGGCAACUUGUAUUAUAAAAUGAUUUACGGUCUUGAUUACGAUACUGAUUAAGACAACCAUUGGUUACUUUAUUUGGAUUGUUCGUUUUUUUCUAUUAAGCAAACAUCGGAUAUAUAACCCUAUAACCAAGCAAAACAAGAGAUACUCUUGAAACAUUACAUAAGUGUAGAAUAUAUAUGUAUGUUGUAUUGGAUGUAGAAUUACAAUUUUAUUUACGAAAAUGUGUUCCUCUAAGGUCUUGUCAAUAAACUCAUCAUAGAUACCAGGA
RNAcentral lists this long non-coding RNA (586 nucleotides) under Mytilus galloprovincialis (Mediterranean mussel). Lineage: Eukaryota; Metazoa; Mollusca; Bivalvia; Mytilida; Mytilidae. The record is from RNAcentral.